AGUAACGCGUGGGUAACCUGCCUCAUACAGGGGGAUAACAGUUAGAAAUGACUGCUAAUACCGCAUAAGCGCACAGUGCUGCAUGGCACAGUGUGAAAAACUCCGGUGGUAUGAGAUGGACCCGCGUCUGAUUAGCUAGUUGGUGGGGUAACGGCCUACCAAGGCGACGAUCAGUAGCCGGCCUGAGAGGGUGAACGGCCACAUUGGGACUGAGACACGGCCAAACUCCUACGGGAGGCAGCAUG
This 245-nucleotide ribosomal RNA is filed under the name uncultured bacterium. Its description in RNAcentral is "partial 16S ribosomal RNA". It matches the Rfam family "Bacterial small subunit ribosomal RNA", at positions 109 to 353 of the family's 1533-position model. The record is from RNAcentral.